CGAACCGUGGUCGGAACCGGCCGGGACCGGCUCCUCCCGGACGGGGUCGGGUGCCGGUUCCUGCCCGGCCGGUGCGAC
RNAcentral lists this transfer RNA (78 nucleotides) under Streptomyces globisporus. Its description in RNAcentral is "tRNA-Pro". The record is from RNAcentral. Lineage: Bacteria; Bacillati; Actinomycetota; Actinomycetes; Kitasatosporales; Streptomycetaceae.